RNAcentral lists this long non-coding RNA (1026 nucleotides) under Citrus x clementina. RNAcentral describes it as "Citrus clementina (C. clementina) long non-coding RNA (CCLE_LNC000782)". The record is from RNAcentral. Lineage: Eukaryota; Viridiplantae; Streptophyta; Magnoliopsida; Sapindales; Rutaceae.
AAAGUGUAUAAUCUUAAUUUAAGCUAUUAGAUUCAAAUCCAUUAGUCUAUUGCAUUUUCAUUUUAAAAUCUGCACAUUGUAAGGUGUAGGGUAAUCAUGUGUAGAUCUUAAGAGCCAUUGGAUUCAAAUCUAAUGGCUCCAAUUUGAAUCCCCACUUUAGAUAAAGUGUUAGAUCUCUUAUUAGAAUCUAAAUAUUUAUAGAGGUUUAAUCAACAACCUUUAAAAAUACUCGUGAUUUUACACUGAUUAAUAUCUAUUAGAUUGAAAAUAAAUUAUCAAAUUAGAUUUAUCAAAAGUUAAAUAUUAAAUAAAAUGGUGUUCUUUCUCCACGUGGAACCCAACACAAUCACUCUCUUCCACUUUUACUUUAGUUUUCACAUGCUCUCCCUCCCUUUCUCCUCUCAUUUUCAAUCACUACUUUUUGUUUGUCAAUUUCUGUCUCCAAAUUCAUCCAAGCAAUUAACUCACAACCUGCAGAAAUUCUAUCCAAAGCCUGUCCAUUAACAAGCAAGAAAGCUGAAACAAGAAGAUUAAGCUAGUGGUUAAAUCUUCCCCCAGAAAUUUAUAAGUUGGAUUUCUCAUAAGAAGCAAAAUUUCUUCGUUCUGAUAGAUAUGUCUGAAAAGCAUAAAAGAUUUUAGUAUAUUGUCAUGCUUUUGUACCAUUAAUGCUUUUUUUUUUCAUGGUUGUUUUGAUUUGCUUCCCUGUUAUCGGAGUAUGUUGCCAAAGUGGUUGUUGGCCACCAAAGGUCAUUGAUGAGGAAGAUUUGAAGAAACAAAUAUACUUGGUUAAGUAUUCCAAUUUGCAUAGGACGAUAUCACAAAAUAAUUAUAAAAGCGUGACAGCAUACAAAAUCUUUUAUGCUUUCGGACAUAUUUACAUUUCGUGAGACGAAUUCGAAGAGAAUAAAGAAAUUUGUGUAAAUUGGUAUAUGUUAUAGGUUGUUGGAAAUAAAAAUCAAAGGAAAAUGAUGGAAAUAUAUGAGAGAGAAAUAUUUGAGUAUUUAAUUUUAAUAAAUCUCAACCAUA